GAGACGCUAGUAAAACCAUUACUUUGCUUUGUCAAGGCAAAAUUGUGGGUUAGACCCCCACGUGACUCA
RNAcentral lists this transfer RNA (69 nucleotides) under Tenualosa thibaudeaui (Mekong herring). RNAcentral describes it as "tRNA-Asp". It matches the Rfam family "tRNA". Rfam says of the family: Transfer RNA (tRNA) molecules are approximately 80 nucleotides in length. Their secondary structure includes four short double-helical elements and three loops (D, anti-codon, and T loops). Lineage: Eukaryota; Metazoa; Chordata; Actinopteri; Clupeiformes; Clupeidae. The record is from RNAcentral.